UGGGGAAUAUUGCACAAUGGGCGCAAGCCUGAUGCAGCCAUGCCGCGUGUAUGAAGAAGGCCUUCGGGUUGUAAAGUACUUUCAGCGGGGAGGAAGGCGAUAAGGUUAAUAUCCUUGUCGAUUGACGUUACCCGCAGAAGAAGCACCGGCUAACUCCGUGCCAGCAGCCGCGGUAAUACGGAGGGUGCAAGCGUUAAUCGGAAUUACUGGGCGUAAAGCGCACGCAGGCGGUCUGUCAAGUCGGAUGUGAAAUCCCCGGGCUCAACCUGGGAACUGCAUUCGAAACUGGCAGGCUAGAGUCUUGUAGAGGGGGGUAGAAUUCCAGGUGUAGCGGUGAAAUGCGUAGAGAUCUGGAGGAAUACCGGUGGCGAAGGCGGCCCCCUGGACAAAGACUGACGCUCAGGUGCGAAAGCGUGGGGAGCAAACA
Molecule: ribosomal RNA, 427 nt
Filed under: uncultured bacterium
Lineage: Bacteria
Description: partial 16S ribosomal RNA
Rfam family: Bacterial small subunit ribosomal RNA
Source: RNAcentral